Molecule: ribosomal RNA, 511 nt
Filed under: uncultured bacterium
Lineage: Bacteria
Description: bacterial SSU rRNA
Rfam family: Bacterial small subunit ribosomal RNA
Source: RNAcentral
UAGUCCACGCCGUAAACGAUGUCUACUUGCUGUCUGUGUUCUUGUAACGUGGGUAGCGCAGCUAACGCGAUAAGUAGACCGCCUGGGGAGUACGGCCGCAAGGUUAAAACUCAAAUGAAUUGACGGGGGCCCGCACAAGCGGUGGAGCAUGUGGUUUAAUUCGAUGCAACGCGAUGAACCUUACCAUCCCUUGACAUCCACAGAAUUCUUUAGAGAUAGAGAAGUACCUUCGGGGACUGUGAGACAGGUGCUGCAUGGCUGUCGUCAGCUCGUGUUGUGAAAUGUUGGGUUAAGUCCCGCAACGAGCGCAACCCUUAUCCUUAGUUGCCAGCCUUAAGUUGGGACUCUAGGGAGACUGCCGGUGAUAAACCGGNGGAAGGUGGGGACGACGUCAAGUCAUCAUGGGCCCUUACGGGGAUGGGGCUACACACGUGCUACAAUGGUGAGUACAGAGGGGCAGCUAGCUAGCGAUAGUACNCGAAUCCCUUAAAGCUCAUCGUAGUCCGGGAUU